GCCAGCUAGUCCAACUUCAGUAACCCUACAAACAGUCACUGCUCUUUAGUUUUCUGUCUUUGUGUAUGUCUGAAGUGAUAGCAGAGCUAUAUAUUUUAAUGUAAUAUAUAUGGCAGGUAGCUCCAUGCCCUCCUGGGUUUUAAAUGCACCUUAGAACACACAUGCAUCAACACUACAAUGAGCGGGUGGAGGGAGGUUUGGAGUCUUCUCUCACCCCCUCUCGGCCUGGGGCUCGGUCAUUUAGGCGCGGCUGGCUGCCGGCGGAGCUCACGGGCGCGUCACUGCAACUCCCCCUGGCUUCUGCUCCGCGGCUGCUGAGUGAGCCCUCAUCUGGGACUCUCCUCAGCUCUUUCUGGGACAGUGGUGCGGCUGCCCCUCUGUUGGUCUUCCUUGGUCUCUUGUGUUCUGGGGGCCUCUGGAUGUCUGGAGUUUUUGAUCUCCUCCAUACCUGCUUCAUGCCCUGGAGGACGGGGCUGUGGCCCCCCCACACCCUCUAGCAGAUCAUUACAUGAAGGAACCUUUAAAAAAAAAAAAAACAAGCACGUCCAUGCUCACAGGUGUACACACGGGUGAUCACACCCACAAACUACACCCUUUUUGGCUCCUACCUCAAAGCACACUGUGUUCUGUUGAUCUUAUGUGCUGCACAAUAAUGUUUAAUAUUUAGUAUUUACUGUCAUAUUCCCAUAUAUCAUUGUGAUGUUGUUUAUUCUAUUACUCUUGUUCUCUUCUGCUUGUUUUCUUUUUUCUUUCUCAGCAGGUGAUCCAGGUGAUUGAUAUAUGCAUUUUUUUUCUUCUUUUUUUUUCUGCUCAUUCUGUUGGUUUUUGUCUUUUGCCCUUCUCCCCCGUCCCUCUUCUCAGCUGUUUCUCUUUCCCUCUUUCUUUCUCCCCUUCUUUCCCCCAGUCAAGUCUGUCCCGUAUUCAGUAAGUGAAAAUAAAAUGAACAAUAAAAGGUGAAUCAAAUGGACCAUUACAGCAAGGCUGGGAUGGUCAAUUUGGUAAAGUAAAUCCGUUGGGCAUCUUUCUUUGCCUUUAGACAAUAAUUCUGAUGGCAAAAGAGCCAAACGGGACAGGCAGCAAAAAAAAAAAAAAAAAAAAAAAAAAAAAAAGUAAUUAAUUUUUUAGAAAUCCCUCAGUCGGAACAUGGUAGAUCAUCUUAAGCGAGCUAACUCCCUGCUAACUUCUAACUCUAUUAAACUUGUUAUAUCCAGUUUUUCAUAGAUGCCUGAAAGCUAAACUUUAUUGUUACACCUGGCAGAGCUGCCACACUGAUCAUUAUAUUAAAAUUGUAAUAAUUUAGACAGUAUUAAACUUUCAGAGAUGCCAUAGUGUUUGUUUGACUUUGGGAAGUGAAGAGAAGUUUGGACCCGGAAACAGCUAAUGAUGUCAGACUUAAGAGGCAGAUAGAAUAAUGCGGAAAAUUCGGAUGUUUCCUUAGCAACUUCUUAGUAGCUUCUAGGAUUUGCCAGAACUUACCACAUAUAAAUUAGAUACAAGUUUGCUCUUUUGUUAGGUUUGAAAUAAGAAAAAUGUCAAAUAUUUAGAGACACCAUUGAGG
Long non-coding RNA from Astatotilapia calliptera (eastern happy), 1558 nucleotides. NCBI's taxonomy places the organism in Eukaryota, Metazoa, Chordata, Actinopteri, Cichliformes, Cichlidae. The record is from Ensembl.